This 434-nucleotide ribosomal RNA is filed under the name uncultured bacterium. RNAcentral describes it as "bacterial SSU rRNA". It matches the Rfam family "Bacterial small subunit ribosomal RNA", at positions 29 to 505 of the family's 1533-position model. The record is from RNAcentral.
AGUGAACGCUAGCGGUGCGCCUAACACAUGCAAGUCGAGCGACUCUUCGAGAGGAGCGGCGAACGGCUGCGUAACACGUUGGAACCUGCCCCAGACUCAGGGAUAAUCUACCGAAAGGUGGACUAAUACCGGAUGGUCUCGUAAGAGUAAAGCUUUUGCGGUCUGGGAGGGGCCUGCGGCCUAUCAGGUAGUUGGUAAGGUAAAAGCUUACCAAGCCUACGACGGGUAGCUGAUCUGAGAGGAUGAUCAGCCAGAAUGGGACUGAGACACGGCCCAUACUCCUACGGGAGGCAGCAGUGAGGAAUCUUCCGCAAUGGGCGAAAGCCUGACGGAGCGACACCGCGUGAAGGAUGACACCCUUUUCGGGCGUAAACUUCUGUUCUGAGGGACGAAAUUUUUGACGGUACCUCAGGAGAAAGCACCGGCUAAUUCCG